RNAcentral lists this small nuclear RNA (29 nucleotides) under Arabidopsis thaliana (thale cress). RNAcentral's name for it is "snRNA_17173". Lineage: Eukaryota; Viridiplantae; Streptophyta; Magnoliopsida; Brassicales; Brassicaceae. The record is from RNAcentral.
CAGCGAUACUGACGUGCAAAUCGUUCGUC